Molecule: ribosomal RNA, 433 nt
Filed under: uncultured bacterium
Lineage: Bacteria
Description: partial 16S ribosomal RNA
Rfam family: Bacterial small subunit ribosomal RNA
Source: RNAcentral
AACGAACGCUGGCGGCAUGCCUAACACAUGCAAGUCGAACGAGACCUUCGGGUCUAGUGGCGCACGGGUGCGUAACGCGUGGGAACCUGCCCUUAGGUUCGGAAUAACUCCUCGACAGGGGUGCUAAUACCGGAUAAUGUCUUCGGACCAAAGAUUCAUCGUCUUUGGAUGGGCGGGCGUUGGAUUAGCUGGUUGGUAGGGUAAAAGCCUACCAAGGCGAGGAUCCAUAGCUGGUCAGAGAGGAUGGGCAGCGACACUGGGACGAGGCAGCGGCCGGGAAUAUUGGGGAAGGGGGGAAAGGGGGAUACAGAAAAACGGCGGAAGGGAUGAAGGAGCAAGGGUGGGAGAGUGAUGAAGUCGGGAGAGAAGAAAAGCAGUUUUACCCGGGGUGGUAAUGACGGUACCGAAAGAAUAAGCACCGGCUAACUCCGUG